This 1026-nucleotide long non-coding RNA is filed under the name Numida meleagris (helmeted guineafowl). RNAcentral's name for it is "lncRNA (ENSNMEG00000011877.1)". Lineage: Eukaryota; Metazoa; Chordata; Aves; Galliformes; Numididae. The record is from RNAcentral.
GGGAGUUUAUGCCUUGUUAAGUGUAAUCAGUCUGGUGAUAAGGGGACAAUUUCAGCUGUGUGAGAUAUAAUUACAUCAUAAACUCCACAUUACAAACAGGGCAAGCAGAGGUGAAAAGGUAAAGAGGAAAUAAACAAUGAUGCCCUUUGGGGAACGUGACAGAGGAGACAUUUCUGGACUCCAUUUCCCUAAGAGAGAAACUUUUCCAGAGGGAAUGGGAGCUGCAGGCAUGCAGGAAAGACAGACUUUGGCGCUAGCACCUGUCCUGGUUCUUCCAGUAGCCUGAAAGGAGUGCUUUACUGUUGCUACACCUGAGGUUUCAAAUCUUCCAGCUGGAGUGGGAUGCUACUUUGGGUCAGUUAAAUAUGAAGCGUGUUUCAGAAAACAGACAAACGUUUCUUUGUGACCUGAAGCUGCAGGAAAGCAUCUGCUACUGUGAUGCCAGUUGAACUGUGAUGACAGCCAGCUGUAAAGAGAAAGGAAGCACAGAGAGUUUGGAUUGUAGCAAAGCUCAGCACCUUGCUGCAGAGGACAAGGCUUCCUGAACAAAUGUGGACAUGCUGGUCUGAAUUUGAUCACACACAUGUCCUAAAUCGCAGACACUACCCCCAAGAUGUCCAACCGUUGAAACAUCUGGCAGACUCAGAGUUGGAGCAGAUGACUGGAUCUUCUCAUCACCUAGGACCGUGCUUCCUGCUAGGAGAUCCAUUACCACUGGAGGAUAUGGCCUUGACAAGAAUGAGAGCAUGACAAAUCCUGUCCAUGUCUUUUGCCAUUACCAGGAGGGUGUGAGGUGGCAGUGAAGCAUGAGGCUGAAAGAGAGAGAAGUGAAGACAGCAAGCAGUGAUUGCAGAGGCUGCCUGCACAGCUGCUGGACCGCUCACCAGGAGAGAAGUGGGUGUUGAGGACCUCCACAUACCCUCCAGUCUCACCACCCUUGUGCAAAGUACAACUGUCUGCAGAAAACCUAGAGAGAAAUAUUUUUGGUUGCAUGCUUGCAGAAAUAAACAAACAAACAAAUAAACA